CCCGCACAAGUAGCGGAGCAUGUGGUUUAAUUCGAAGCAACGCGAAGAACCUUACCUAAGCUUGACAUCCCAAUGACAUCUCCUUAAUCGGAGAGUUCCCUUUGGGGACAUUGGUGACAGGUGGUGCAUGGUUGUCGUCAGCUCGUGUCGUGAGAUGUUGGGUUAAGUCCCGCAACGAGCGCAACCCUUGUCUUUAGUUGCCAUC
This 205-nucleotide ribosomal RNA is filed under the name Clostridioides difficile. Its description in RNAcentral is "partial 16S ribosomal RNA". It matches the Rfam family "Bacterial small subunit ribosomal RNA", at positions 920 to 1122 of the family's 1533-position model. Lineage: Bacteria; Bacillati; Bacillota; Clostridia; Peptostreptococcales; Peptostreptococcaceae. The record is from RNAcentral.